GUACCGACCGAGGAGAACAGUUAGUAAUAUAUUUAUUAUAUCUUUACUGUGUCUGACGGGUUCGGGAAACGAUUACUAUUCACGCACGCGAAAAGGCAUUAAAUGACUCACGUCGAAAGCAAAUCGUUGCAAAUCAUAAGUCGAUGACACAUUUGAAACGCAAGUUUUAAACUUUUACUUGCUAUAAAAGUUUAGAACACAGCGAUAAAUCACGAAACAUUUUGGCAACAAAAACAGCUUUAAAUUUUUAGCACACCGUUCAGUAGAAUACGGCCUCCUAAACUGACUAAUCACGGCGCACGUUGUAUUUGAGAGGCAUUAUAAAACUCUUUAUGAAUCAGGUAGAAUUAUAGAGAGAAGUACCAUGACAUGCAGCUCCUUCACACUAGAACUUUUCAGUGUCAAGCUUCAUUUUCGUCAUUUGUUUUCUUUUUAAAUUACAGACAGAACCUCCUUUGAAGAAAUCUCAGUCGUCACCACCCGAGAGGGAACGCAGCAAACCACCUAGUGAUGCGAAGAUCGUGAGAGCAUAUUGAGAUAUGACCACUUCGAAAGGGGAUUUAACCAAAUGGAUCAGAAGUCGAAGGUACACAUUCACCUCAACAAGAGAGAGAUCGGAAGAUAAUUGUCCUAGCCUUCUCUCAUUCUCGGAGUCUGGAAAGGAAAAGUAAAUCGGAGAAUCAAACGUCAAGAGAAGAGUUUAAGGGUUAAGUGGAACUUGGUUUUACCUAGCUGGUUUCAUUCAAGAAAGCGUUUUCAUAGAAAACCAAUUAAAAGCAAUUUUGACAUUCGCAGCAUUACAUGGUGAUGAUGUCAUUCUAACAGAGCCGCUGUACAAACUUUCACCGGACCGUCUCCUCGAUCUGGGAGGACGUAAAAGCGCGCUAGGUUUAAUUUUUUACUGUGUGCAAAAGUGAUUAGUGAAGCAAAAAUAUUUCAUCUUUUUAUUUUCCAAAGGAAGAAACAUCACUAUAACCUUGGUAUAUUACUUCAUUUCUGUAAACAGCUGUUGUUAUGAUUUCUUUCGUUAAUAAGGAUAAUUAAAAACAUUAUCAUUUUCAUCUCUUGGUGCUCUUUUAUUGUGAAAGUUUAAAGGGCGUCUAUUUAACUAAUUUUCGAAAGAAACACAUUUCCCCACGAAAAGUGGCAAAGAAUAUUGAUUUGAGUAAUUUGGUCAAUUAAGUGUUCAUUUUUUCAGCGCUGAUUAACUACUUUAAGGUGAUUCCCUAGUAAAAGAACCCGCCAUAGAUUUCCGAUGAAACUUGGUGUGUUGUUGUUACAGGACAAGGAGAUAUUAAAACCGCAAUAAAAAGAGGUGGUCACCGUGUUUGUUUCCGCCACAAUGCUGACAAAUACGGUUAUUUAGGUGACUUUUGGUAAU
This is a long non-coding RNA of Orbicella faveolata, 1381 nucleotides long. The record is from RefSeq and is a predicted model, not a curated record. NCBI's taxonomy places the organism in Eukaryota, Metazoa, Cnidaria, Anthozoa, Scleractinia, Merulinidae.